CCCCAGGAAGGCUUGGCCAUAAGGGAGAGAUCAGAUAGGGGAUGGGACAAAAGCGAAUCUAGGGGAUGGUCAAAGUUUCGAAAGGGCAAGAAGGAAGUAAAGUGCUUCAAGUGCCAGGAGUUUGGUCUUUUCAAGCAGGACUAUCCACUAUGAAAGAAGAAGCAGGGAGAAAAGGCAGUAGCUGCAGCAUUUGAUUCAUUGAGUAUGGUGGC
Molecule: long non-coding RNA, 212 nt
Filed under: Elaeis guineensis (African oil palm)
Lineage: Eukaryota; Viridiplantae; Streptophyta; Magnoliopsida; Arecales; Arecaceae
Description: long non-coding RNA (EGUI_LNC041936)
Source: RNAcentral